This 158-nucleotide ribosomal RNA is filed under the name Uwebraunia dekkeri. RNAcentral's name for it is "5.8S ribosomal RNA". It matches the Rfam family "5.8S ribosomal RNA". From Rfam's summary of the family: 5.8S ribosomal RNA (5.8S rRNA) is a component of the large subunit of the eukaryotic ribosome. It is transcribed by RNA polymerase I as part of the 45S precursor that also contains 18S and 28S rRNA. Functionally, it is thought that 5.8S rRNA may be involved in ribosome translocation. Lineage: Eukaryota; Fungi; Ascomycota; Dothideomycetes; Mycosphaerellales; Dissoconiaceae. The record is from RNAcentral.
ACAAAUCAAAACAAAACUUUCAACAACGGAUCUCUUGGUUCUGGCAUCGAUGAAGAACGCAGCGAAAUGCGAUAAGUAAUGUGAAUUGCAGAAUUCAGUGAAUCAUCGAAUCUUUGAACGCACAUUGCGCCCCCUGGUAUUCCGGGGGGCAUGCCUGU